GACGAACGCUGGCGGCGUGCUUAACACAUGCAAGUCGAACGGAAAGGCCCUGCUUUUGUGGGGUGCUCGAGUGGCGAACGGGUGAGUAACACGUGAGUAACCUGCCCUUGACUUUGGGAUAACUUCAGGAAACUGGGGCUACUACCGGAUAGGAGCUCCUGCUGCAUGGUGGGGGUUGGAAAGUUUCGGCGGUUGGGGAUGGACGCGCGGCUUAUCAGCUUGUUGGUGGGGUAGUGGCUUACCAAGGCUUUGACGGGUAGCCGGCCUGAGAGGGUGACCGGCCACAUUGGGACUGAGGUACGGACCAGACUCCUACGGGAGGCAGCGGGGGGGAACAUUGCACAAUGGGCGGAAGCCUGAUGCAGCAACGCCGCGUGCGGGAUGACGUCCUUCGGGUUGUAAACCGCUUUCGCCUGUGACGAAGCGGGAGUGACGGUAAUGGGUAAAGAAGCACCGGCUAACUACGUG
This 468-nucleotide ribosomal RNA is filed under the name uncultured bacterium. Its description in RNAcentral is "partial 16S ribosomal RNA". It matches the Rfam family "Bacterial small subunit ribosomal RNA", at positions 28 to 507 of the family's 1533-position model. The record is from RNAcentral.